This 74-nucleotide non-coding RNA is filed under the name unclassified sequences. The record is from Rfam.
CCUGUGGAGCGUUAUAUCAAACGAAAGUAGCUGCCUGCUUCGGCAGGGCAAAAUCGGACGCAAUGAAACAGGAA